UGCCAGCAGCUGCGGUAUUACCGAGGGGGCUAGCGUUGUUCGGAAUUACUGGGCGUAAAGCGCACGUAGGCGGACUGGAAAGUUGGGGGUGAAAUCCCAGGGCUCAACCCUGGAACUGCCUCCAAAACUAUCAGUCUAGAGUGCGAGAGAGGUGAGUGGAAUUCCGAGUGUAGAGGUGAAAUUCGUAGAUAUUCGGAGGAACACCAGUGGCGAAGGCGGCUCACUGGCUCGGUACUGACGCUGAGGUGCGAAAGCGUGGGGAGCAAACAGGAUUAGAUA
Molecule: ribosomal RNA, 279 nt
Filed under: uncultured bacterium
Lineage: Bacteria
Description: partial 16S ribosomal RNA
Rfam family: Bacterial small subunit ribosomal RNA
Source: RNAcentral